CUCAACUCUUAUUGUGCCGGUUCGAGCCAAGCUAUCAAUAAGGACAAGUCCUCGGUGUUCUUUGGCAACCACUAUCCUGAUCAUGUCAAGAACCGAGUGAAGAAUCAGCUGGGUAUAUAUACUGAGACGUUCCAUGAUUCAUAUCUUGGUAUGCCCACGGAUGUUGGACGUUCUCCCACUUGCACUUUCAAGUUACUCACUGAUAGAGCGUGGCAGAAUAUCCAUGGGUGGUCGGAUCGGCCUACGUCUAGGGCUGGGACGGAAACCAUGCUCAAGUCCAAGACUCAAGCCAUUCCCACGUUCAUCUCGAGAUGCUUCCGACUGCCGGUGGCGAUCUGUGGGAGGUUCCGUCAGAUUGUGGCUGAUCAGUGGUGGGGACGGGAAGAUGGCAAGAAGAAGCUUCACUGGCGCUCUUGGGACUUGCUCUCGACCCCGAAAUCCUUGGGUGGCAUGGGCUUCCGCGACAUGGGGCUUUUUGAACCAGGCGAUGUUGGCAAAACAGGGCUGGCGAUUACUGACGGAUCUGAGUCUCUGUGUGCCCGGGUUUUGAAAGGAAGGUACUUCCAGUUCGACAGCUUUUGGAACGCGGGGGCACCUCGUUCUGCUUCUGCGACCUGGCGGGCGAUAUUGCAUGGCCGUGAUUUGCUGAAGAUGGGUGUCUAG
RNAcentral lists this ribosomal RNA (663 nucleotides) under Triticum aestivum (bread wheat). RNAcentral's name for it is "partial small subunit ribosomal RNA". The record is from RNAcentral. Lineage: Eukaryota; Viridiplantae; Streptophyta; Magnoliopsida; Poales; Poaceae.